RNAcentral lists this ribosomal RNA (450 nucleotides) under uncultured bacterium. RNAcentral's name for it is "partial 16S ribosomal RNA". It matches the Rfam family "Bacterial small subunit ribosomal RNA", at positions 338 to 795 of the family's 1533-position model. The record is from RNAcentral.
CCUACGGGGGGCUGCAGUAAGGAAUAUUGGUCAAUGGACGCAAGUCUGAACCAGCCAUGCCGCGUGGAGGAUGAAGGUCCUCUGGAUUGUAAACUUCUUUUAUUUGGGAAGAAACUCCCGAUUUCCAUCGGGAUUGACGGUACCAGAUGAAUAAGCACCGGCUAACUCCGUGCCAGCAGCCGCGGUAAUACGGAGGGUGCAAGCGUUAUCUGGAUUCACUGGGUUCAAAGGUUGCGAGGUAAGUCAGGGGUGACAUCUCCGGGCUUAACCCGGAAACUGCCAUUGAUACUAUUUGUCUUGAAUACUCUGGAGGUGAGCGGAAUAUGUCAUGUAGCGGUGAACUGCUUAGAUAUGACAUAGAACACCCAUUGCGAAGGCAGCUCACUACGGAAAUAUUGACGCUGAGGCACGAAAGCGUGGGGAUCAAACAGGAUUAGAUACCCGGGUGUC